Molecule: non-coding RNA, 554 nt
Organism: Drosophila bipectinata
Lineage: Eukaryota; Metazoa; Arthropoda; Insecta; Diptera; Drosophilidae
Source: RefSeq, a predicted model, not a curated record
UUUUUGCUUGAGAAUAAUUUUCCAAAGAGUGUGGGAAAUUCUUGAAAAUUAAAACAAAAAUUUUACAAUUUUGGAUCGAAAAUACAUAUAUUUUUUUUAACAAUUGCAAAAAAAAAAAAAAAACCGCACCAACACACAGAAAGGCUAGGAAAUUGCGUUACACAAGCAAGUGAACAAGUGUACGGGUGUGUGUGAGUGUGUCCGUGAGUGUCGCGUGUCUCUCUCGGCUUCAAUAAUCUAAUAAUUUUUUUUUUUCGAGUGUUGCAACCAAGCAAAAAAUUAAAUAUAUAUGUAUAAAAAAAAAUAAUAAAAAAAAAAAAAAAAGAUAAAGCAAAGAAAGCAAAAUCGAAAGAAAUUUGUUGCAAACAGCAAACAAACACACACACGCGAAAUCGAAUGCACAGAAACGAACGAACUGCAGUCCACGCCUACGCCUACGCCUGCGUCGACGUCAGCCGCGCUGCCAGCGCACAGUGGAGUUAAGAACUGAAUCCGCCAUCCUGUUCUGGCAUUUUUGAAGCGCUGCCAAUAAGAGAGAGAAAAGAGAACUUCCG